RNAcentral lists this long non-coding RNA (328 nucleotides) under Homo sapiens (human). Its description in RNAcentral is "HSALNT0200790". The record is from RNAcentral. Lineage: Eukaryota; Metazoa; Chordata; Mammalia; Primates; Hominidae.
CAUAACCUCAGUUCUGCCUAGCUCCAUAACUAGUAGGUUUCACAAUUUGAUGUCCUCUUGCUGUGCUGACCCACUUGGAACUGGCUCUGACAUUCUGCCACCAACACACAGGAAGCAAACAGGUUUUUUUCUACUGGUGUUGGUGUACUUUGUGCUCAGAGAAUAGAAUAUCCCAGGGGAGUGUCAAACCAUGAGAAAAGGAAAGGUGGAUUGGGACACUGGUGCUGGCACCCACUUGCUUAUUUGCUGAGGCUUUUUGGUCCUUCUUGUUCCUCAGAGAAAGGUGAGUGGGGCGAUGCGUAGAGCAGCUUCUGAAGAUCAGCAGGCC